AAUAUUUGACAAUGGGGGCAACCCUGAUCCAGCCAUGCCGCGUGUGUGAAGAAGGUCUUCGGAUUNUAAAGCACUUUAAGUUGGGUNGAAGGGCUUUAGGUUAAUACCCUGACUUUUUGACGUUACCAACAGAAUAAGCACCGGCUAACUCUGUGCCAGUAGCCGCGGUAAUACAUAGGGUGCAAGCGUUAAUCGGAAUUACUGGGUGUAAAGAGCGCGUAGGGGGGGCAGGAAGAUGGGUGUGAAAAACCCGGGCUUAAACUGGGAAAUGCGUUCAUAAAUGCUGAGGUAGAGUACGGUAGAGGGGAGUGGAAAUUCCUGUGUAGCGGUGAAAUGCGUAGAUAUAGGAAGGAAAACAAGUGGCGAAGGCGACUACCUGGACUGAUACUGACACUGAGGUGCGAAAGCGUGGGGAGCAAACA
This 422-nucleotide ribosomal RNA is filed under the name uncultured bacterium. RNAcentral describes it as "partial 16S ribosomal RNA". It matches the Rfam family "Bacterial small subunit ribosomal RNA", at positions 360 to 774 of the family's 1533-position model. The record is from RNAcentral.